GAUGAAGAACGUAGCGAAAUGCGAUACGUAAUGUGAAUUGCAGAAUUCAGUGAAUCAUCGAAUCUUUGAACGCAUAUUGCGCUCUCUGGUAUUCCGGAGAGCAUGCUUGUUUGAGUAUCAGUAAACACCUCAACUCCCUUUUCUUUUUUGAAAUUGGAGCUGGACUUGAGUGAUCCCAACGCUUUCUUCCAAGAAAGUGGCGGGUUGCUUGAAAUGCAGGUGCAGCUGAACUUUUCUCUGAGCUAUAAGCAUAUCUAUUUAGUCUGCCUCAAAACAGAUUAUUACCUUUGCUGCAGCUAACAUAAAGGAGAUUAGUUCUUGUGCUGACUGAUGCAGGAUUCACAAAGACCGCUUCGGCUGUCUUUGUAAACUCGAUCUCAAAUCAAGUAAGACUACCCGCUGAACUUAAGCAUAUCAAUAAGCGGAGGA
Molecule: unclassified non-coding RNA, 429 nt
Filed under: soil metagenome
Description: partial contains 5.8S ribosomal RNA, internal transcribed spacer 2, and large subunit ribosomal RNA
Rfam family: 5.8S ribosomal RNA (bases 1-120)
Source: RNAcentral